CAGUAGCCACGGUAAUACAGAGGGUGCAAGCGUUAAUCGGAAUUACUGGGCGUAAAGCGCACGCAGGCGGUUUGUUAAGUCAGAUGUGAAAUCCCCGGGCUCAACCUGGGAACUGCAUCUGAUACUGGCAAGCUUGAGUCUCGUAGAGGGGGGUAGAAUUCCAGGUGUAGCGGUGAAAUGCGUAGAGAUCUGGAGGAAUACCGGUGGCGAAGGCGGCCCCCUGGACGAAGACUGACGCUCAGGCGCGAAAGCGUGGGGAGCAAACAGGAUUAGAUACCCCAGUAGUCCCUGUCUCUUAUAC
RNAcentral lists this ribosomal RNA (301 nucleotides) under uncultured bacterium. Its description in RNAcentral is "partial 16S ribosomal RNA". It matches the Rfam family "Bacterial small subunit ribosomal RNA", at positions 509 to 807 of the family's 1533-position model. The record is from RNAcentral.